Molecule: long non-coding RNA, 1408 nt
Filed under: Astyanax mexicanus (Mexican tetra)
Lineage: Eukaryota; Metazoa; Chordata; Actinopteri; Characiformes; Acestrorhamphidae
Description: lncRNA (ENSAMXG00005016423.1)
Source: RNAcentral
AGGAGUCUAUAGUGCUCUACCCCUCUUCCCAAAACACAUUUUUCUGAAAGCUAUAAUGACUAUAAUGUUAUAUUAAAAUGUUAAUGUUGAAACAUAUUAGAUGCCCUAGCCUCCCUGUUUCAGCUGCAAUUACACCCAUUAAAAAUGCAAGUAUAUUAAAGAAGCUUUCUUAAGAAGUUUUUACUUGAGUCUCUGCCACAGAUCAUCUUCAUACUAGACUACAUACGUCUGCUAUGUUCUUGCAGGAGUGUGACAUUACGUCUGCAGGUGUGAUGAAUAAAAGCAUAUAAACCAAUAGGAUGUCGGAAUGGUAUGUUUUUACUUGUCAUUCAACCACAAUCAAAUUCACUAUAUCUGGAUGGAGAGAUUUGUCUGCAUAAGGUUUUUUGAAUGACGAGAAGACGGAAUAAAAACAAGCUGAAAUGAAACAGAAGUAGUGAGGCUAUUUUUAAAAUGCAAGGAGCAGAAAGUUCAGAUAACUGUGUGCAAAUGUAAGGAGUAGAAGGAACUAUUUGUUACAGUGAAGUAACAAUAACCAAAAUUAGUUUUUACCAUAAUGUUAAUUAUACCACAGUUAGUUCCGACCCUGCAAUGUGAUUUUAUGUGUGACAGUAUCAGCAGAUAAUGCACUGUAACCGAAGCUCUCCAUUUUUUACUGUGUUACUAGUUAUGUGUACACUGUCCCUUUAAGCUAAUAAGGUAGAGAUGCAGAUGGUUGUUGUGCUGUACCACUAGACCCACUGGAACCAUGCUCCUUUAUUUUACUUAUUUUAUAUUCAUAGUAAUGCCUUAUAUGUGCUUUUGGUGUCUACUUAGUUCCUGUUUGGGUGCCAGUUGGAACGCUCCAGCCCGGAUGGCAAGUCUUUGGGCAGGUGAAACACGAAGCACACUGGAGCAGCCACAUGAAAGAGUCUGCAGGCCGCUGAAAGGACAUAAGAGAGCAAAUGUGUCCACUUUGAUCAGCGGACAUCUGUCUCUCCUCUCAACGUGUGAUCACUCUUCCAUCUACAUUGUCUCUGGCCCUCUUCAGACCCUUCCAUCUGGACUUCAGAGGAGCUUUGUGUGAAUCAGAGGGCCGGCUCUCGUGUCGGUGCUGUUGUGAAGUCUCUGCGUUUGAGGUUGCUUGCUCGGUUGAGUUCACAAGACGGUGGAGCACUUUUCAUUUUGGAACACCUGGUGCUGGUAAUCAGCGUAAAACACAAAAAGUACAUCAUAACUAUGUGUUCUUUUGUUCUUGAUAGCCAGCUUCUGUUGUUAAACUGAGCUCAGUCCUCAUUUAAUGAUGUGUGCAGCUUUAUUUCCCCCACACAAGCCAACGUUUCCAGCUGAUGUCACACCACAGAUGACGUGCUGGAAGUCCUGCUGGCUAAGCUUGCCCUUAAGAGGACGAAGAGAGAAAGAGAUAGCG